UCCUAUCAAACGAAGCAAUUAAAUCAGCAAAGUUGAAACUAUACUUCAUAACAAGGCACCUGGAGUAUAAAGAUAAAUCCAGAGACUUUUUUCAACAAAGGAAAGAAGAAUAAAACUCAAAUGACAAACAUAACAUUGGUUCUGGAAAAGGCUCUGAAAGCAUCUUUCUUAACAGUACUUUGGAUUGUAAAGAAUAAAAAAUCCCAUACCACUGGAGAAGAACUGAUUCUGCCCGCUGCUUUCAAAAAGUGUGAUGCGCUGCUUCAGCUGUAUGGCCCAGGGAGAGUGUCUCUUUUCUAAGAGGAUCCCAGGGCCCUGGGCUAGAACCUGGAGUAGACACAGGAGGCGCUGACUCAGAUUGUGGGGAAGAUCACUGAGGAGAGCAAAUCUGCCAAUAAGCGCAGGACCCACCAAGGUAGAGAAGGAACUUUGUCAUAGUACAUAACACUAACACUUGUGGCAAUUAAAAGAACCUGAUCAUAUAAAGAUUAUAGUCAUAUGGAGGCCCAUACUUCAAUCACAAAGGAGUCUUGCAUUCUUCUGCAUGUGAAAACUACACCCAAUGCAUGCCCCUUUAUUCCCAUUCUUGAUAUCUCUGGCAUAAUAAAUCACGCUUGCUCUAUACUCUCCCUUCUUUGAA
Molecule: long non-coding RNA, 640 nt
Organism: Gopherus flavomarginatus (Mexican gopher tortoise)
Lineage: Eukaryota; Metazoa; Chordata; Testudines; Testudinidae
Exons: 3
Source: RefSeq, a predicted model, not a curated record